RNAcentral lists this long non-coding RNA (284 nucleotides) under Elaeis guineensis (African oil palm). RNAcentral's name for it is "long non-coding RNA (EGUI_LNC063492)". Lineage: Eukaryota; Viridiplantae; Streptophyta; Magnoliopsida; Arecales; Arecaceae. The record is from RNAcentral.
GGUGGAUUAUGUAUGGAGGUUAUGAGUAGGUCAACAUGGAAUCGAUCACUCCAAUUAAAAAAGAGAUCGCAUCCUACUUGUUCCGAUCGAGAGAUGAUACAAAAAGACUUUGAUCAAAGCAGAAUGAAAAUUAAUUUUUUUUUUAAUAUUUCAUUAAUUGAAUCAUCAUCUUAUGAUCGAGAAAAAUAUGAAUAUAAAAUUGGAUUUGACUUGGUUCCAUAUCCAUAAUCAUAUUCGAGAUGCUGGAUGAUCGAAGGAUUGAAUUACAUGAUAACUUGCCACUG